CCUUGCGGGGACCUCCACAGCCCGAAGAUGUCGCCAGCGGCCCCCGGCGCAGCCACGACGCGUCGCCUUUCAGCUCCUAGCGCUUCCCCACAAAAGCCAGACAACAAUAUCAAUUAAUCAUGCAGCGGGCAAACAAGGAGAUUUAUCCCGCGACAAACAGCCCCACGGAGAGUCGUUGAAUGGGCGUGAUUAGCAUGUGAAAAGACGAGCAAAACUCCGUGGUUCAACAGCUAAAGAGCAAUUUGAUGGGACUGGGAUGGGGAAAUUACUUGAUUAGCGUCCGUCGGAGGAGAGCACGGUUACAGCCCCUCUGCCUGGAAUCCAACUGCGGAACAAAACGCGCUGUGUCUGCGAGGAGAAGUGAAUUCUCUGAAAGGGUAAUUGUCUGCUGAUGGUGUUUCCAUUAUACCCGAUCUUGGCCUAAAUGAUGUUGGGCAGCAGGGCGGAGAGUGAGGGGUGAAAUCAAUGUUGAAACCAACUAGCGCUCCGGUGGAAGAAAAGAUCCCUCUAGAUCGCUUACCCGCAAGUCCUGCAGAACAAUGCCGCCGGUUGCACCACCGAUUUGGACGGCUGUUCUGCAGAUCUCCGACAUCAUCAAACUGAAGUGAUCUUGGGGGUAAGAGAGUAAAAACUAACUCUCCUUUAGAAACUUUAGGAAUCCUUAGCAUCUUGGUAUCGUUGAGUCAGCAGAUAACCUGGAAAAUAAAACCCAGUAUAUAAAACCCAUUAUGACCAUGUUUCCACCUUCCUAUCCCGUUAGUACUGAAAACACAGAGUAGUUUUUUCCAAGGCACAUUCUGUCUAGGGCUCUAGGCCUCUCCCUGUUGGGUCUUCCUGGAAAGGUCUUGCUUUUACCAGGCACUCGGUAGUUAUGUAAUAGUGUGCAUUGUCUUGUAGAUAGAGAACAGUUAGCAUCGGACUUGAAAAAAUGUUCUCUGUAGAUCCAAGCCACUGUUUCCUGUAGAACCUGAUACAGGGUUAGCUGAAUAAAACACCUACUUGAAACAAAAUGAAGGAAGGGGUUUAGAAACUGAAACAAAAUUGACCGGCUGGAAACCACUUGUUGGCCUUAGGGCAUGUCAGUACCCCAGAGUCAAACAAAGGCAAUAUUUGGGGCCUGCCUUUCUUGAAAAUUCUGCCGUAUCUACUUAGGCAACAGCUUUGACCGUAAACCCUUUUUAAUUAUUACGAAUGCACCUUGAGGGGAGUGGCCUCUUUAGAGUCUGAGUCGGGGCAGAAGAAGGAGCGACCGUGGGAGGAGGAUGCAGCCAGAGUUUAAGUCACUUAGGACCAAGGACCAAAGCAGCUUUCACCGCCCCACCCCCUUCAGAAUUUGUUUCUUCCCUAAGGAAGAAUAUCUUGAAACUGUCAAAUUCUACAUCUGUUAACUUGGAGGCAUUUCAGGUCAACUCUCUUAAUACCUGUGUCUUGCUUCUGCUUUAGAUGGGGUCUGCUCCAGGAGGGCCUGCCCACUCCUCGCUAAACGGUAAAGCCUAAAAUAUGAUCAUGAAAUAAGAUGUGGCUCUCCCCGUGUCCCACCGCUGCCUCUCAGGACCCCUCUAAGGCUGCAGUCCCCAGCGCAGACACUCGGCUGGGCUGAACUGCAAAGGCCUUUAGCCACCUGCCUCACUGUGUAGCUGCCGCCUCGGCCAAGUGACAGCCCCAGUCCUUUUACUCAGCGCUGCGCUCACUUUUCUUGGGAGACCCACUGACCUUGAGAAGGCGCGGACCCACGGCGGCGAAGCCAAGCCAGGCAACAUCCGAAGCAGGAGUGCGCGGCUCAAGCGCUGCCUGUACCCGCUGGCUGAUCCGUGUCCUCCACCGCUGUCGGGAGAUUUUCCUCAGGAGGGUGAAUUUGACUGAAUCCCAACCUCUUCUUUAUUCACUGUGUGAUGGUGUGAAGUUGAGGUGUCUGAAAUACAGAUGGAGACAGAUCAAUGAAGACAUUUCCAAGGAUGGCUUCCUUAACUCCAGUGCAAUGAGACUGUCUUGUUUUUGUGCACAAUACAAAUGCAAAUAAAGAAAAAAAAUAAAUGUUUUCAGUUAAAUGCC
This is a long non-coding RNA of Mesocricetus auratus (golden hamster), 2052 nucleotides long. RefSeq lists it as uncharacterized. The transcript has 5 exons. Lineage: Eukaryota; Metazoa; Chordata; Mammalia; Rodentia; Cricetidae. The record is from RefSeq and is a predicted model, not a curated record.